GCGGGUAUAAUUUAGUGGUAAAAUGUCAGCUUCCCAAGCUGAACAUGGGGGUUCGAUUCCCCCUACCCGCU
This 71-nucleotide transfer RNA is filed under the name Roseofilum reptotaenium AO1-A. It matches the Rfam family "tRNA". From Rfam's summary of the family: Transfer RNA (tRNA) molecules are approximately 80 nucleotides in length. The record is from Rfam by way of RNAcentral. RNAcentral also lists the same sequence under 1 other name. Lineage: Bacteria; Bacillati; Cyanobacteriota; Cyanophyceae; Desertifilales; Desertifilaceae.